UACGGAGGAUCCUAGCGUUAUCCGGAUUUAUUGGGUUUAAAGGGUGCGUAGGCGGCUUGUUAAGUCAGGGGUGAAAGACGAUGGCUCAACCAUCGCAGUGCCUUUGAUACUGACGAGCUUGAAUGUACUUUAGGUAGGCGGAAUGUGACAAGUAGCGGUGAAAUGCAUAGAUAUGUCACAGAACACCAAUAGCGAAGGCAGCUUACCAAGGUACUAUUGACGCUGAGGCACGAAAGCGUGGGGAUCAAACAGG
Molecule: ribosomal RNA, 253 nt
Filed under: uncultured bacterium
Lineage: Bacteria
Description: partial 16S ribosomal RNA
Rfam family: Bacterial small subunit ribosomal RNA
Source: RNAcentral